AAAUAAACGUUUUAACGUCUUCUAAAGACAAUUCCCUACCUAAAUGCAAAGUCUGAGAGACGUGGUUCACUUCCUUUAGCUAGUCAGUCGGCAAUUCUGCAACAGUGGCUCUAACUGACGCAGCACCAGUUGACAGACAGCAUUACAGCGUGAAAUCCAGCUUGUGACCCGGUUCUGUAAGGAAUUCUGUUCAGGAGGUCACAUUUCAGGCUCUCCACAUCAUAUGUGACUGACUUUUACGUUAUAACAACGAUCACACACUAGGAAUGUUAUAAAGCGCCUAUAUAGGAGAUUCUUUUGUAUAUUAUCUGACUUUAUAAACUCCCAACAACAAUGUGCUUCUAUUUUUUUUUUCAGGCUAAAUCUACCCAAGACACUGGCUGUCAGACUGAUUUAGCUGCAAGAAUGCACUUGUCCAGGCUGAUGUGAAACCUUCCCUGUAGCAAAGCCAGCCAGAAUGGAGUUCACAGCCGCAGUGUGUCUGGUGACCCACGGGGACCAUGAUGAAAAUUCAUCUUCCAGAAGGUCCCAGAGCAGCGGCCACACCCCCUGAAAAGACCAAGGUGUGAGGUGUCUGCUGUUGAUUCCAGCUUCCACCUCAGUGACAGUGCAAGCUCAGUGAACUGUUCAAGGACACUCAGCAAAAUAUGGACUCUACACCAUGAGGCAGGCACACGUUAAUAACUAUAAGAGCACAUAAGGUGAGCAACACCACAUAUUAUUGUACACUGUCCUGAAUUUGUUUUCUUUCUGCAUCUCAUUAGCCUGGCUGAUCACCUGAUAACUCCUGUCAUCUGGUUAUGACAGCAUGAGGAUGUCUUCACUCACCUGUAACCUAUCAGCUCAUCUGGCAGAAUAGAGAGAGAAGAGACAACACCACAUCUCCUGUUCCUGGAAAGCCUUCAGCCAUCCUUCGAUGACUGAGAACCUCCAUCAGCUCUGUCUCCUGUCUGCCUCCAAUUAUU
Molecule: non-coding RNA, 965 nt
Organism: Nothobranchius furzeri (turquoise killifish)
Lineage: Eukaryota; Metazoa; Chordata; Actinopteri; Cyprinodontiformes; Nothobranchiidae
Source: RefSeq, a predicted model, not a curated record